GGCCUUCUGUAAAAUGGACACAAGGAAAGCAGCUAAAAACUAGAGGAAGUCAACACAACUAAGGAUAACAUCAGAAGACUAUUACAUUUCUUCUGCAAGUAAAUAAAAAAUCUACACGAUUUUUAUCUCAGUGGACGUGUGUGAAGGAGAUGUAAGCUCCACUAUUUUGAUCCGAUUAUAAAAGAUUCGAGAGAUGGAAGAUAAGCGACAAUAAUCGAAUGCAAAUCCAGUUAGUCAAGCCUCGUAACCAAUUACUUAACUAGAAGGCCUCAUCAGUGAAAGACUGGUGAACACUGGCAAUCCGCCCCAGGUUGGAAUCCCUCCAAAUGGGCUAGCUGCUUGGGGUUGACAUGAUUUUUCUCCGGUCUAAUAUGAAUAUCAGCCGAUUUCAACAGACAGAACAGAGAGCAGCACGUGACAGCAGGUGAAGUCGGUCCCUUGUUUACGAAGGGCCAUCCAUCUCCGAGCGUGACUCCGCCCCGGACGACCUUGGAGCUCUACGACCUGUGACAGCGAACACCCCUCAUCGCCCAAUGGCUGGUUGCCGCGUCACGACCAGGCGGAGCGACCGGCGCGCCGCUCCUCGCUCGAUGAUCGUUCGGCUCUCCCCUGUCUUCACAACACGCGGCGUCGCUCGCCGAGUUGAGAUGUUCUUACACCGAUGGCUAGUUCGAGCCCGUACCUCUCGUCCACCGGCUUGGUGAACGCACUUGCCAGCGGUCCCGACAGCCCAGGAAUGCAGGUCGCUACUUCGCAGGCCGCCUACGCCCGAGAGCCUCCUGAGAUGAAAUAUAUGCCGCCCCAGCACCAGAGUCACAACGGACAUCAUGCGCUUGCACCGCAGCACCACUGGGUCAGCUUGCCGCCCCAUAACGAUGCUUGGUCGGCAGCAAUGCCCCCGCCUGGGCUUCAUGCUGCUCAGGAUGUGAAGCCUCCAGAUUUGCACAGCGUCCACCAUCGUCCACCCCAACACAUGGCUGCAUCUCAUCCAUGGCACCAUUCGUCUCUUGCUUCUUCGCACAUGUCCGGCAUGGGAGGCCAUGGUGGUAAUGGAGCAUCACCCCACCAUCACCUACAGCACUAUGGCAUGAAUGGCAUGCUAGGAGGUCAUGGUUCCCAGCUGCAUCCAGCAAUGAGAGAAAUGCAACAUGCGGAGCAUCCACACCACCACCACCACCAUCACCAUCCUCACGAAGAGCAUCCACAUCCAAUGGAUCAUCCACAUAGACAUCCUGAUGACUGCGGGCCAUUAGGUGGUGGUGAAGAGGCACCUAGUUCGGACGAUCUAGAGCAAUUCGCAAAACAGUUCAAACAGCGUCGCAUCAAGCUCGGUUUCACGCAAGCAGAUGUCGGACUGGCCUUGGGCACUUUAUAUGGAAAUGUAUUCAGUCAAACUACUAUCUGCAGGUUUGAGGCCCUGCAGCUCAGUUUCAAAAACAUGUGCAAACUGAAACCAUUACUGGCUAAAUGGCUGGAAGAAGCAGACAGUACUACGGGUUCCCCAACCUCCAUAGAUAAGAUAGCCGCCCAGGGGCGGAAAAGGAAGAAGAGAACGAGUAUCGAAGUGUCUGUGAAAGGAGCUCUAGAGAAUCAUUUCCACAAACAACCUAAGCCAGCGGCUCAAGAGAUUGCCAGUUUAGCGGACAGUCUUCAGCUAGAGAAAGAGGUGGUUAGGGUCUGGUUUUGCAAUCGUCGCCAGAAGGAAAAACGUAUGACACCUCCCAUGAAUAUGGGUGGUGGGGGUGGCCAAAUGCCGCCUGGAGGUGAUGGCGGACUCAUGAUGGGGGGAUCUCCCCUGCACGCGCACAGCCCCAACAACCUCAUGCAAUCGCCACCACCGCCUCCGCAUUCCAUGGCGGCGGCCCACUGACCCGUGGCCGGGGCCGCGGACUCCGUCCAUCACUACGCCGGCCAGCCGACGGACGACCUCCCGCCUGACCGCGAGCCCCUACCGACGACUACACAGUUUUUCUUCUCGCUCCUCAGAGGUUCCGCCCUGGAACCUGCCUCGUACAAGUGUACAUGAAUUCGAAUACUAUUUUUUUUUUCCUUCAUUCCGAUAGACCAUUUUGAAUACUGAAUCUCUCUGGAAGAGAAGAGAGCGGAAAGAAAAAACAAAAAAACAAAUAAACUUCAUGAUCUUUUUUGUGUGCCAAUCUUCGGUCCUCUUUUUUUGUACAGAAGGGGCGGCUUCGAGCAAAAUGAUCCUCAACCCCCUCGUUUUCAGUGUAUGGCAUCGGACCUAAAUCACUGCGGUGACAUCCACCUCACAAAGGUUAGAAAACAAAGUUCCUCAUUCCACUGGCCAAGAACACUGCCAGAACGUCUCUGAGAAACAAGUAGUCAAUCUACUCAGUGUCAUCAAAUGCUGUGUUGCUUGUUUUACUGCUCAUUUUUACUUCAUCUAAAGACAUUUCCAAGGGCCUGCAUUUCAGUUCAUGAACUACAUAGUUUCGUCCCCCUUCUGUUUUUGUUUUCGCCUUUUUUUUUAAACUCUUUGAGCACUCACGCCAAGCAGGCUUAUCUUAUUCUAUGUUCUAAACGGCGGUGAAUUUUCUACAAGUGAAUGUGUGGCUACAGAUAAUUUGGAUAAUGUCUCAAUACAAAAGAUUAAUUGCUGGAUCCAGUCCAAGAGUUUUAUGUUUUCUUUUUUGGAAUAUUUAAAAGUUGUGAUAUUUAUGAGUUCGUGCAGUUUUACUUAUUCUAUUAAUAAGUACUACUCUAUAUAAAUAGUAACUAAAAUUUAUGUAUGUAACAUAGUAUUUUACUGUAAAAUUAUAUAUAUCCAUGGUACUAAAACUAUUGAAAAAUUAAAAAAUAAAAAAAUAAACUCGAAAUAUUUCAUUAUGAAACAGAUACUACCCUUCAAAUAAUAUAAUAUUAUCAAGAAAUUUUUAAAUAUUCCCUGCAGAUGGAUCGUUUUUUGUAAAGAUGCAUAUAGGAAAUUUACUAAUAUAGCAUAUAUUACUAAUAUUGCAUAUAGGAAAUUUACAUUUAUUUGCAUAAAAAUAUUGAGGGAAACGAAUUUAAAAUGAAACGCAUUUUAAGGCUGAAUUCACGUCAAAAUUAAUAUUUGUACAUUAAUAUCCUGAGAAUAUUUAAACGUAGAUGAAAUGGCACAUAAUUAGAAUUAACUGCACUACUUGUUACCAUUACUUGCGGUGAAAUACUUCAGUUGUGUAAAAUUUCUUUUUUUUUGGUAUAUGAGUUUUUGAUAGGGAAUAUUUAUUUUCCUCCUUAUUAAUUUUAAAUAAGUUGUAAAGAUACGGAGGUUGAAAUAUUUAUAAAACUUAUAUAUGUCAGUUUUAAACUUACUGCAUUCCUUCUUUAGCUCCUAUUUUU
RNA transcript from Stegodyphus dumicola, 3342 nucleotides. It is a transcript of the gene named POU domain, class 3, transcription factor 4-like, with no coding region annotated. The record is from RefSeq and is a predicted model, not a curated record. NCBI's taxonomy places the organism in Eukaryota, Metazoa, Arthropoda, Arachnida, Araneae, Eresidae.